AAACAUCGCCUCUUGUAUAUUAUAAGAGGUCCAGCCUGCCCAGUGACCCCCCGGUUUAACGGCCGCGGUAUCCUAACCGUGCGAAGGUAGCGUAAUCACUUGUUUUUUAAUUGAAGACUUGUAUGAAAGGCAUCACGAGGGCCAAACUGUCUCCUUUUUCUCAUCAGUGAAACUAAUCUUCCCGUGAAAAAGCGGGAAUUUUAUUAUAAGACGAGAAGACCCUAUGGAGCUUUAAACUUAACAACACCCGCUUUUCACUUCCCUUUUUUCUGAAAUUUUUUCCCAUAGCAUUCUUGUUUGUGAGUUUUCGGUUGGGGCGACCCCGGAGAACAACCCAUCCUCCGCAAUGUAAAGAUCUUUUCUUUAAUUAAGAGUUACAACUCUACACAUUAGUAUAACUGACAUACAUUGACCCAAAUUUUUGAUCAACGAACUAAGUUACCCUAGGGAUAACAGCGCCAUCCAUUUUAAGAGUUCCUAUCGACAAAUGGGCUUACGACCUCGAUGUUGGAUCAGGGUAUCCUAGUGGUGCAGCCG
RNAcentral lists this ribosomal RNA (537 nucleotides) under Oreobates amarakaeri. Its description in RNAcentral is "partial 16S ribosomal RNA". It matches the Rfam family "Bacterial large subunit ribosomal RNA", at positions 1811 to 2561 of the family's 2925-position model. Lineage: Eukaryota; Metazoa; Chordata; Amphibia; Anura; Strabomantidae. The record is from RNAcentral.